GGGUCUUUAGCUCAGCAGUAGAGCGGCAGACUUCGGUUUCCAAACUGGAGCACACCUUCUCGGGUGUCAAGCACUCCUUCGCGGGUGUCUUCUGCAGGUCGCGGGUUCAAUCCCCGUAGGACUCU
Molecule: non-coding RNA, 125 nt
Organism: Sporisorium reilianum f. sp. reilianum
Lineage: Eukaryota; Fungi; Basidiomycota; Ustilaginomycetes; Ustilaginales; Ustilaginaceae
Source: the annotation of a GenBank genome assembly